AGAACGAACGCUGGCGGCAUGCCUAACACAUGCAAGUCGAACGUGAUCCAGGCUUCGGCCUGGUGAAAGUGGCAGACGGGUGAGUAACGCGUGGGAACCUGCCCUGUGGUAGGGAAUAACCGUGGGAAACUGCGGCUAAUACCCUAUGAGUCCUUCGGGAGAAAGAUUUAUCGCCAUAGGAGGGGCCCGCGUCGGAUUAGGUAGUUGGUGGGGUAACGGCCUACCAAGCCUUCGAUCCGUAGCUGGUCUGAGAGGAUGAUCAGCCACACUGGGACUGAGAUACGGCCCAGACUCCUACGGGAGGCAGCAGUGGGGAAUAUUGGACAAUGGGGGGCAACCCUGAUCCAGCAAUGCCGCGUGGAUGAUGAAGGCCUUCGGGUUGUAAAGUCCUUUCGGCGGGGAAGAUGAUGACGGUACCCGCAGAAGAACGCCCCGGCUAACUUCGCGCCAGCAGCCGC
Molecule: ribosomal RNA, 458 nt
Filed under: uncultured bacterium
Lineage: Bacteria
Description: SSU rRNA
Rfam family: Bacterial small subunit ribosomal RNA
Source: RNAcentral